CUACGGGCUGCUCCAGUGGGGAAUAUUGGACAAUGGGGGCAACCCUGAUCCAGCAAUGCCGCGUGUGUGAAGAAGGCCUGCGGGUUGUAAAGCACUUUCAGCAGCCAAGAAAAGCCUGGGGUUAAUACCCCCGGGUCUUGACGUUAACUGCAGAAGAAGCACCGGCUAACUCUGUGCCAGCAGCCGCGGUAAUACAGAGGGUGCAAGCGUUAAUCGGAAUUACUGGGCGUAAAGCGCGCGUAGGCGGUUUGUUUAGUCGGAUGUGAAAGCCCCGGGCUCAACCUGGGAAUUGCAUUCGAUACUGGCAGGCUAGAGUAUGGUAGAGGGAAGUGGAAUUCCGGGUGUAGCGGUGAAAUGCGUAGAUAUCCGGAGGAACACCAGUGGCGAAGGCGGCUUCCUGGACCAAUACUGACGCUGAGGUGCGAAAGCGUGGGGAGCAAACAGGAUUAGAUACCCGAGUAGUC
Molecule: ribosomal RNA, 464 nt
Filed under: uncultured bacterium
Lineage: Bacteria
Description: partial 16S ribosomal RNA
Rfam family: Bacterial small subunit ribosomal RNA
Source: RNAcentral